AUUCUUGUGCAGAGACAAUUUCAUAGUCUAUGAAGUUCUACUGAGACGUGAUUAUUGCUGGUUGAAAACUUUAACCAAUUCCCCGCCUGGAUGAUUUGAAACACAGUCAGCUAUGGCAAUUUUGCUAGUCUCUCAGGAGA
Small nuclear RNA from Oreochromis aureus, 140 nucleotides. RefSeq annotates it as U4 spliceosomal RNA. NCBI's taxonomy places the organism in Eukaryota, Metazoa, Chordata, Actinopteri, Cichliformes, Cichlidae. The record is from RefSeq and is a predicted model, not a curated record. The transcript has a single exon.